This 326-nucleotide ribosomal RNA is filed under the name uncultured eukaryote. RNAcentral's name for it is "partial 18S ribosomal RNA". It matches the Rfam family "Eukaryotic small subunit ribosomal RNA", at positions 1470 to 1796 of the family's 1831-position model. The record is from RNAcentral.
CCCUUAGAUGUUCUGGGCCGCACGCGCGCUACACUGAUGCAUUCAACGAGCCUAGCCUUGACCGAGAGGUCCGGGUAAUCUUUGAAACUGCAUCGUGAUGGGGCUAGAUUAUUGCGAUUAUUAAUCUUCAACGAGGAAUGCCUAGUAAGCGUGAUUCAUCAAAUCGCGUUGAUUACGUCCCUGCCCUUUGUACACACCGCCCGUCGCUCCUACCGAUUGAGUGUGUUGGUGAGGAGUUUGGAUUGGCCUCGGAAGGUGGUUCGCCACCGUCCGUAGCUGAGAAGUUCUCCAAACCGCCCCACUUAGAGGAAGGAGAAGUCGUAACA